This 524-nucleotide long non-coding RNA is filed under the name Homo sapiens (human). RNAcentral describes it as "HSALNT0281403". Lineage: Eukaryota; Metazoa; Chordata; Mammalia; Primates; Hominidae. The record is from RNAcentral.
AGUGAAUAAAUCUCACGAGAUCUGAUGGGUUUAUCACGAGUUUCUGCUUUUGCUGCUUCUUCAUUUUCCUCCUGCUGUCACCAUAUAAGAAGUGCCUUUCGCCUCUCGCCAUGAUUCUGAGGCCUCCCCAGCCAUGUGGAACUGAAUUGGAGGAACCUUGUCCAGGGACAGCACAGACUUAUCAUAACAGAGGAGAAGUGGAAAUGAGAAAAAUGUGUAGCUAUCAGGGCAUGAGAGUCAUUCCUCAUCAAAACUCAUUUUGCUUUUGAUCCCUGAGGAAAAGGGAGAUACUGAAUUGGUUCAUGGGGAAGUUGGUCAAAUUCCAAAGAUGGUAAGCCUGUGUGUUUUCCCAUGCCAUCUUGUUUCUUUUUCGUAUAGUCUCUACUAGUUUUCUAAAUCUUCAGAAUGACAUAAGAUUUCUAAUAUCAACUUAGGUACAGCCUCCCAGGGACUGGUAAGUAAGUUGGAUAUAUUCAGUAGCUUAUUAACAUCAUUGGAUUAUCCAAAAUAAAUUUAAAAACAGA